This 96-nucleotide transfer RNA is filed under the name Pseudomonadota bacterium. RNAcentral's name for it is "tRNA-Sec". It matches the Rfam family "Selenocysteine transfer RNA". Lineage: Bacteria; Pseudomonadati; Pseudomonadota. RNAcentral also lists the same sequence under 1 other name. The record is from RNAcentral.
GGAAGAGUGUCGUGUCCCGGUGGUCCGGCCAGACUUCAAAUCUGGUAGGGGUUGCAAGCAAUCCCUGGUGGGUUCGACUCCCAUACUCUUCCGCCA